CAGAGUUGUCCAACUCCCAAACCCAUGUGAACAUUACUCAAUUUGUUGCCUCGGCGCGAGCUAGCCCGCUCCCGGUCUACCACGGGACGGCCCGCCAGCGGACACCCUAAAACUCUGUUUCUAUUAUGUAACUUCUGAGUGUAAACCUAUUAAAUAAUCA
RNAcentral lists this unclassified non-coding RNA (160 nucleotides) under soil metagenome. RNAcentral's name for it is "partial internal transcribed spacer 1". The record is from RNAcentral.